GGUGUUGUGGCAGAGUGGUCUAAUGCGCAAGACUAGAAUCAUCAUAUGAGCCUAUCUUGUUCCUUCGGGAGCGUCUGUUCGAAUCAGGCCAACAUCG
Molecule: non-coding RNA, 97 nt
Organism: Pestalotiopsis sp. NC0098
Lineage: Eukaryota; Fungi; Ascomycota; Sordariomycetes; Amphisphaeriales; Sporocadaceae
Source: the annotation of a GenBank genome assembly